RNAcentral lists this ribosomal RNA (490 nucleotides) under uncultured bacterium. RNAcentral describes it as "partial 16S ribosomal RNA". It matches the Rfam family "Bacterial small subunit ribosomal RNA", at positions 30 to 507 of the family's 1533-position model. The record is from RNAcentral.
AUUGAACGCUGGCGGCAGGCCUAACACAUGCAAGUCGAACGGUAACAGGAAGCAGCUUGCUGCUUCGCUGACGAGUGGCGGACGGGUGAGUAAUGUCUGGGAAGCUGCCUGAUGGAGGGGGAUAACUACUGGAAACGGUAGCUAAUACCGCAUAAUGUCGCAAGACCAAAGAGGGGGACCUUCGGGCCUCUUGCCAUCGGCUGUGCCCAGAUGGGAUUCGCUUGUUGGUGGGGUAACGGCUCACCAAGGCGACGAUCCCUAGCUGGUCUGAGAGGUUGACCAGCCACACUGGAACUGAGACACGGUCCAGACUCCUACGGGAGGCAGCAGUGGGGAAUAUUGCACAAUGGGCGCAAGCCUGAUGCAGCCAUGCCGCGUGUAUGAAGAAGGCCUUCGGGUUGUAAAGUACUUUCAGCGGGGAGGAAGGGAGUAAAGUUAAUACCUUUGCUCAUUGACGUUACCCGCAGAAGAAGCACCGGCUAACUCCGUG